AUGAAUCCACUGGCAAGGUGUCUAGAGGAAUUGCUGCCAGAAAGAAUUUCAAGUACUUAUUGGUGUUUUCUUCUUCUUAGAACACUACUUGUUGCAUCUACGGUUUGUGCGGCUUUUCUGAUUCCGUUUUUUGGACUUGUGAUGGCUUUGAUCGGUUCUCUCUUCAGUAUGCUUGUGUCAGUGAUUAUGCCCAGUUUAUGCUUUUUAAAGAUUGUGGGGAAGAAGGCUACAAAUACACAGGUUACCAUGAGCGUCAUAAUUGCUGCAGCCGGAAUGAUUUGUGGACUCCUUGGAACAUAUUCCUCUUUGUUGAAUAUUGCCAAUAGUUACUAA
Non-coding RNA from Vicia faba (fava bean), 333 nucleotides. The record is from the annotation of a GenBank genome assembly. Lineage: Eukaryota; Viridiplantae; Streptophyta; Magnoliopsida; Fabales; Fabaceae.